GAUGAACGCUGGCGGCGUGCCUAAUACAUGCAAGUCGAGCGAACAGACGAGGAGCAUGCUCCUCUGACGUUAGCGGCGGACGGGUGAGUAACACGUGGAUAACCUACCUAUAAGACUGGGAUAACUUCGGGAAACCGGAGCUAAUACCGGAUAAUAUAUUGAACCGCAUGGUUCAAUAGUGAAAGACGGUUUUGCUGUCACUUAUAGAUGGAUCCGCGCCGCAUUAGCUAGUUGGUAAGGUAACGGCUUACCAAGGCAACGAUGCGUAGCCGACCUGAGAGGGUGAUCGGCCACACUGGAACUGAGACACGGUCCAGACUCCUACGGGAGGCAGCAGUAGGGAAUCUUCCGCAAUGGGCGAAAGCUUGACGGAGCAACGCCGCGUGAGUGAUGAAGGUCUUCGGAUCGUAAAACUCUGUUAUUAGGGAAGAACAAAUGUGUAAGUAACUAUGCACGUCUUGACGGUACCUAAUCAGAAAGCCAAGGCUAACUACGUG
RNAcentral lists this ribosomal RNA (497 nucleotides) under uncultured bacterium. RNAcentral describes it as "partial 16S ribosomal RNA". It matches the Rfam family "Bacterial small subunit ribosomal RNA", at positions 28 to 507 of the family's 1533-position model. The record is from RNAcentral.